UGGCGGACGGGUGAGUAACGCGUGGGAACGUGCCCUUUGCUACGGAAUAGUCCCGGGAAACUGGGUUUAAUACCGUAUGUGCCCUUCGGGGGAAAGAUUUAUCGGCAAAGGAUCGGCCCGCGUUGGAUUAGGUAGUUGGUGGGGUAACGGCCUACCAAGCCGACGAUCCAUAGCUGGUUUGAGAGGAUGAUCAGCAACACUGGGACUGAGACACGGCCCAGACUCCUACGGGAGGCAGCAGUGGGGAAUCUUAGACAAUGGGGGAAACCCUGAUCUAGCCAUGCCGCGUGAGCGAUGAAGGCCUUAGGGUUGUAAAGCUCUUUCAGCUGGGAAGAUAAUGACGGUACCAGCAGAAGAAGCCCCGGCUAACUCCGUGCCAGCAGCCGCGGUAAU
Molecule: ribosomal RNA, 393 nt
Filed under: uncultured bacterium
Lineage: Bacteria
Description: bacterial SSU rRNA
Rfam family: Bacterial small subunit ribosomal RNA
Source: RNAcentral